UCUUGCGGCUCGUACAGCUCUGUUGACUCAUUUUUAGAUUCAAACUUCAAGUACUGACUGUUGUUUUCUUUCAGGGAAAUGAGUGUCAUCUUCGACUUUGCCACCACUGUUUCUGUUUUGUCUGCCUUUUUGGUUCUUUCUCGCCAUACCUAACAUGUCUAUCAUCGAAAUGUGAUUGAUCUGUUUGUACAGGCUACCAGGUUGCAACGCUGGUUUCAUGUUUGCAAUUUUACUUUCAGAGUGAUCGUUGUGGUAGCUUAGAUGACCGUUUUUGCUUUCCUUUGAGUAUUUACCCUAUCUAACUGAAAGCCAUCAAAUACUAUUAUGUAUUUACAUGGCUUUUCAACUUUCUAUUGCCAUCAGGAUCAAACAGUCAUCGCCAACAUUUUUUGCAUUUGUACUCUGAACGCUUACUCUUUGUGGGCCACCAGUUGUCUGCUAGCUGUGUACCCCUAUGGUUAAUUGUUAUUCCCUGUUCCGUUAUAAUUUGACUUCGUCAUUACUGUCAGCUUGAAACCAUUGUUUGUGGUUUGCUUCAAUAUUGCAGUGUGCAGCUUUGUUCUCCACCUUAUUGUAACUGCAUGUCUGUUUCUGCAGUUCUGCUAUUGCGUUUUUCUGUUGCUGAUAUUUCUGUGCGAUGUUUGUUGGUUUAGAUAUGCAAAUGUUACACUGUACAAAAUCAUUCUAUUGCUUUGCUGUAUGGCUGAAUGGAGUUCUCUAUGAAUUCAGUGAUCCUAACAACAUAUGCCAGUUAUGAAGCUGUGAACUGAAAAUAAUUGAAUCGCCAGGUCUGCUUCGAAUGUAAUGCUCUGUUGGAACAUUGGUUAUGGAUAUAUCCCGCCUUUUUCCUGCCCUUUCUGUGUAAUAUCAUUAAAAUUUUUCCCUAUCUUCUAUGUUGGAUUAUGGUAUUAUUUUCGUUUACUUUAACUUAUACACAUGUGUUCUUUUACUUGCAUAGGUCUUCAUGGCGCAGAACAUCGCGAAGAAAAAGGGGUAUUCUUAUGUUCUCUGCUUUGAUGCUGUUCACAAAAAGUAUCCUAAAGAUUUUUUUUUCCCUAUAGUGUUUUUAUUGGCAAGGUGUGUUUAUGGUGCCACUGAUACUUCUAUUCCAAUGCUUUCUGCACUGGGUCAAGUGCCCUUUUUUACUUCUGAAGGGUAUUGCGCUAGAGCAGUCAAGUUACAUUUUUAGCGUGCUUUAUUGAGGAGAUGUAUAAAAACAUGGAAUCUCAAUUCCAUGAAGAGUUGCAGCGCCAUAAUCUACCUUCAUACAUGCUAAAGGAAAUAAAUUCAAGAUUGGAUAAAAUAGAACCAAAGGUUCGCUCACUUGAUGGUGCUAGAAUGCAAUACAAGGUUAUAGAAAGAUCUGUAAGUGCUAAUCCGAAAAGAGUCAGUCCAAGGAAAAAGGGCUCAGCGAGGGAACACACAUUAUUUGGAGGCAAGUUUUAAUUUUCGAUUUCCUGGAAGCUUCAUUUCUGUUUUGAUUAACAUUACACAAAUAAAAAAGGUGUUAUUGGUUUGUGCUAGCCAAGAUUUUAAGUAAUGGCUAAACAUAACCGGAGGUUCCAUGCUAUUCACUGUAAAUUCUUAUUGAUCUAACAAAGGCAAUAUUAACAUCUUUUCCAUUCACAGCGAGUUAGUGCUUUGUUCCACGUGCCGUUAUUUAUGUAAUCAUGCAGCUAUUAGUUGGUUCAUGAUUUUAAAGUUCUUGCAGACAUCGCAGACAUCAUUGGCAGAUGUCACAUGUAGAUCGAAGCACA
Oryza brachyantha (malo sina) is the source of this 1757-nucleotide long non-coding RNA. RefSeq lists it as uncharacterized. The record is from RefSeq and is a predicted model, not a curated record. NCBI's taxonomy places the organism in Eukaryota, Viridiplantae, Streptophyta, Magnoliopsida, Poales, Poaceae. The transcript has 3 exons.